UUGAAGAGUUUGAUCAUGGCUCAGAUUGAACGCUGGCGGCAGGCCUAACACAUGCAAGUCGAGCGGUAGCACAGAGAGCUUGCUCUCGGGUGACGAGCGGCGGACGGGUGAGUAAUGUCUGGGAAACUGCCUGAUGGAGGGGGAUAACUACUGGAAACGGUAGCUAAUACCGCAUAAUGUCGCAAGACCAAAGUGGGGGACCUUCGGGCCUCAUGCCAUCAGAUGUGCCCAGAUGGGAUUAGCUAGUAGGUGGGGUAACGGCUCACCUAGGCGACGAUCCCUAGCUGGUCUGAGAGGAUGACCAGCCACACUGGAACUGAGACACGGUCCAGACUCCUACGGGAGGCAGCAGUGGGGAAUAUUGCACAAUGGGCGCAAGCCUGAUGCAGCCAUGCCGCGUGUGUGAAGAAGGCCUUCGGGUUGUAAAGCACUUUCAGCGGGGAGGAAGGCGGUGAGGUUAAUAACCUCAUCGAUUGACGUUACCCGCAGAAGAAGCACCGGCUAACUCCGUGCCAGCAGCCGCGGUAAUACGGAGGGUGCAAGCGUUAAUCGGAAUUACUGGGCGUAAAGCGCACGCAGGCGGUCUGUCAAGUCGGAUGUGAAAUCCCCGGGCUCAACCUGGGAACUGCAUUCGAAACUGGCAGGCUAGAGUCUUGUAGAGGGGGGUAGAAUUCCAGGUGUAGCGGUGAAAUGCGUAGAGAUCUGGAGGAAUACCGGUGGCGAAGGCGGCCCCCUGGACAAAGACUGACGCUCAGGUGCGAAAGCGUGGGGAGCAAACAGGAUUAGAUACCCUGGUAGUCCACGCCGUAAACGAUGUCGAUUUGGAGGUUGUGCCCUUGAGGCGUGGCUUCCGGAGCUAACGCGUUAAAUCGACCGCCUGGGGAGUACGGCCGCAAGGUUAAAACUCAAAUGAAUUGACGGGGGCCCGCACAAGCGGUGGAGCAUGUGGUUUAAUUCGAUGCAACGCGAAGAACCUUACCUGGUCUUGACAUCCACAGAACUUUCCAGAGAUGGAUUGGUGCCUUCGGGAACUGUGAGACAGGUGCUGCAUGGCUGUCGUCAGCUCGUGUUGUGAAAUGUUGGGUUAAGUCCCGCAACGAGCGCAACCCUUAUCCUUUGUUGCCAGCGGUCCGGCCGGGAACUCAAAGGAGACUGCCAGUGAUAAACUGGAGGAAGGUGGGGAUGACGUCAAGUCAUCAUGGCCCUUACGACCAGGGCUACACACGUGCUACAAUGGCAUAUACAAAGAGAAGCGACCUCGCGAGAGCAAGCGGACCUCAUAAAGUAUGUCGUAGUCCGGAUUGGGAGUCUGCAACUCGACUCCAUGAAGUCGGAAUCGCUAGUAAUCGUAGAUCAGAAUGCUACGGUGAAUACGUUCCCGGGCCUUGUACACACCGCCCGUCACACCAUGGGAGUGGGUUGCAAAAGAAGUAGGUAGCUUAACCUUCGGGAGGGCGCUUACCACUUUGUGAUUCAUGACUGGGGUGAAGUCGUAACAAGGUAACCGUAGGGGAACCUGCGGUUGGAUCACCUCCUU
Molecule: ribosomal RNA, 1537 nt
Filed under: Klebsiella pneumoniae
Lineage: Bacteria; Pseudomonadati; Pseudomonadota; Gammaproteobacteria; Enterobacterales; Enterobacteriaceae
Description: bacterial SSU rRNA
Rfam family: Bacterial small subunit ribosomal RNA
Source: RNAcentral